UUAAGUUCAGCGGGUAGUCCCACCUGAUUUGAGGUCAAGUUUCAAGCAUUGUCUCGCAGGAGACGGUUGGAAGCGACAGCCACCGGACAGCAUGCCAGAGACGUAGAUACUUAUCACGCCGAGGAUGCCUGGGCACCGCUAAUGCAUUUGAGAGGAGCAGGCUCAACGCCUGCAAGACCUCCAGGUCCAACCUCAGCCCA
RNAcentral lists this unclassified non-coding RNA (200 nucleotides) under Gloeohypochnicium sp. RNAcentral's name for it is "partial internal transcribed spacer 2". Lineage: Eukaryota; Fungi; Basidiomycota; Agaricomycetes; Russulales. The record is from RNAcentral.